Molecule: ribosomal RNA, 663 nt
Filed under: uncultured bacterium
Lineage: Bacteria
Description: bacterial SSU rRNA
Rfam family: Bacterial small subunit ribosomal RNA
Source: RNAcentral
CAGUGGCAGACGGGUGCGUAACACGUGAGGAACCUGUCCGGUGGCGGGGGAUAGCCGGCCCAACGGCCGGGUAAUACCGCAUACGCUCGUUUGGGGGCAUCCCUGGGCGAGGAAAGCAGCCGCAAGGUUGCGCCGACGGAGGGUCUCGCGGCCUAUCAGCUUGUUGGCGGGGUCACGGCCCACCAAGGCGACGACGGGUAGCUGGUCUGAGAGGAUGAUCAGCCACAUUGGGACUGAGACACGGCCCAGACUCCUACGGGAGGCAGCAGUGGGGAAUAUUGCGCAAUGGCCGCAAGGCUGACGCAGCGACGCCGCGUGUGGGAUGACGGUCUUCGGAUUGUAAACCACUGUCAGGGGGAACGAAUACCAGGCGUCGAAUAGGCGACCUGGGGUGACGGUACCUCCAAAGGAAGCACCGGCUAACUCCGUGCCAGCAGCCGCGGUAAUACGGAGGGUGCGAGCGUUGUCCGGAAUCACUGGGCGUAAAGGGCGCGUAGGUGGUUCGGUAAGUUGCUGGUGAAAUCCCGGGGCUCAACUCCGGGGCUGCCGGCAUGACCGCCGAACUUGAGCACGGUAGGGGCAGAUGGAAUUCCCGGUGUAGCGGUGGAAUGCGUAGAGAUCGGGAAGAAUACCAGUGGCGAAGGCGUUCUGCUGGGCCGUUGC